RNAcentral lists this small nuclear RNA (162 nucleotides) under Otolemur garnettii (small-eared galago). RNAcentral describes it as "U2 spliceosomal RNA". It matches the Rfam family "U2 spliceosomal RNA". From Rfam's summary of the family: U2 is a small nuclear RNA (snRNA) component of the spliceosome (involved in pre-mRNA splicing). The record is from Rfam by way of RNAcentral. Lineage: Eukaryota; Metazoa; Chordata; Mammalia; Primates; Galagidae.
AUCGUUUCUAGGCCUUUUGGCUAAGAUCAGGGGUAGGAAUUGAGAAAAAUUUGUUCAUACAAAGAUGUAUGUGACUGUAUGUAGAAGCUCAUGCAACAUAUACAUAUAUAUGCAUGUGACUCUAUAUAUAUGUACACUUUUUGCAUAAGGUGUUGACACAUU